AGAGUUUGAUCCUGGCUCAGGAUGAACGCUGGCGGCAGGCUUAAUACAUGCAAGUCGAACGGUAACGACCGGUAGCAAUACUGGGGCGACGAGUGGCGCACGGGUGCGUAACGCGUAUGCAACCUGCCCUCAACCGGGACACAACGCCGAGAAAUUGGCGCUAAUAUCCCAUGUGUAUAAGGAAUGGCAUCGUUUUUUAUAUAAAGAUUUAUUGGUUGAGGAUGGGCAUGCGUAACAUUAGCUAGUUGGCGGGGUAACGGCCCACCAAGGCGACGAUGUUUAGGGGUUCUGAGAGGAUUCACCCCCACACUGGAACUGAGACACGGUCCAGACUCCUACGGGAGGCAGCAGUAGGGAAUAUUGGGCAAUGGAGGCAACUCUGACCCAGCCAUGCCGCGUGAAGGAAGACGGCCCUAUGGGUUGUAAACUUCUUUUGCCGCAGAGUAACCUGGGGGACGCGUCCCCCACUGAGAGUAUGCGGCGAAUAAGUAUCGGCUAACUCCGUGCCAGCAGCCGCGGUAAUACGGAGGAUACAAGCGUUAUCCGGAUUUAUUGGGUUUAAAGGGUGCGCAGGCGGACCGUUAAGUCAGGGGUGAAAAGUUGGGGCUCAACUCCAAUCGUGCCUUUGAUACUGGCGGACUAGAGUGCAGGGGACGUGACUGGAAUGUGAUGUGUAGCGGUGAAAUGCUUAGAUAUGUCACAGAACGCCGAUCGUGAAGACAGGUCACGAAUCUGCAACUGACGCUCAUGCACGAAAGCGUGGGGAUCAAACAGGAUUAGAUACCCUGGUAGUCCACGCUGUAAACGAUGAUCACUCGUUGUUGGCCGGUGACGGUCAGUGGCUAAGCGAAAGCGAUAAGUGAUCCACCUGGGGAGUACGAUCGCAAGGUUGAAACUCAAAGGAAUUGACGGGGGCCCGCACAAGCGGAGGAGCAUGUGGUUUAAUUCGAUGAUACGCGAGGAACCUUACCCGGGCUUGAACGUAAGACGAAGAACCAGGAAACUGGUUCGCCUUCGGGCGUUUUGCGAGGUGCUGCAUGGUUGUCGUCAGCUCGUGCCGUGAGGUGUUAGGUUAAGUCCUGCAACGAGCGCAACCCUUACCUUCAGUUGCCAGCACGUAAUGGUGGGGACUCUGGAGGAACUGCCUACGCAAGUAGAGAGGAAGGUGGGGAUGACGUCAAAUCAGCACGGCCCUUAUGUUCGGGGCUACACACGUGCUACAAUGGCGUGUACAGAGGGCAGCUACCCCGCGAGGGGAUGCCAAUCCUCAAAGCACGUCUCAGUUCGGAUUGGAGUCUGUAACUCGACUCUAUGAAGUUGGAUUCGCUAGUAAUCGCGCAUCAGCCAUGGCGCGGUGAAUACGUUCCCGGGCCUUGUACACACCGCCCGUCAAGCCAUGGAAGCUGGUGGUACCUAAAGUCCGUACCCGCGAGGAGCGGCCUAGGGUAAAACCGGUAACUGGGGCUAAGUCGUAACAAGGUAGCCGUACCGGAAGGUGUGGCUGGAACACCUCCUU
This 1516-nucleotide ribosomal RNA is filed under the name uncultured bacterium. RNAcentral describes it as "bacterial SSU rRNA". It matches the Rfam family "Bacterial small subunit ribosomal RNA". The record is from RNAcentral.